This is a non-coding RNA of Glycine soja, 83 nucleotides long. Lineage: Eukaryota; Viridiplantae; Streptophyta; Magnoliopsida; Fabales; Fabaceae. The record is from Rfam.
AGCAAAAUGAUGAAGCCAAAACUUUUCUGAAACUGAUGAGGAUAUCUUGUGUUUCAUAUGGUCUUCAAAGUUCUCUGAUUGCU